RNAcentral lists this ribosomal RNA (274 nucleotides) under uncultured bacterium. RNAcentral's name for it is "partial 16S ribosomal RNA". It matches the Rfam family "Bacterial small subunit ribosomal RNA", at positions 523 to 796 of the family's 1533-position model. The record is from RNAcentral.
AGACGGGGGGGGCGAGCGUUGUUCGGAAUUACUGGGCGUAAAGGGCGCGCAGGCGGCCUGGGAAGUCUUGGGUGAAAGCCCCCAGCUCAACUGGGGAAUGGCCUGAGAAACCACUAGGCUGGAGUGCUGGAGAGGGAAGCGGAAUUCCCGGUGGAGCGGUGAAAUGCGUAGAUAUCGGGAGGAACACCAGAGGCGAAGGCGGCUUCCUGGACAGACACUGACGCUGAGGCGCGAAAGCUAGGGGAGCAAACGGGAUUAGAAACCCCGGUAGUCC